GGAUUUUGUUCUUCUGUAAGAUGUCGCCCCCCUCUAAGAACUAUUGGAAGAUGUUCAGACAUGUCCGUGUGCUGCAAAAGUGACUGGAUAUGAAACCCUGAAAUUCCCAAGCAGGACAUGACCCUCGCUUCUGGCUGCUGGACCCAUGUGCUGAUGUCCCCAUGUGCUGAUGUCCCCAUGUGCUGAUGUCCCUUGUCCUGGGUGGCUGUGCCGUGCCCAGCUGGGCUGACAGCAGCAGUGGCGGCUGCUCCUGCUGGCUGCUGCUGGGCUGGAGCCCUGUGGUGCCAGCCCCGGUGUCUUUGGGGCAGGGGCUGCUUUUCCUGCCUUGAAUAAAGACGAGCACUUU
Long non-coding RNA from Melospiza georgiana, 346 nucleotides. RefSeq lists it as uncharacterized. The transcript has 2 exons. Lineage: Eukaryota; Metazoa; Chordata; Aves; Passeriformes; Passerellidae. The record is from RefSeq and is a predicted model, not a curated record.